AUACUGUAUUCACUUCCAUCUUGUAUGUUUACAGACUAUUCAUUUCUUUUUUAUUCCACGGCUUCAUCCAAAAAUUGUUUUGCAUCCACAGCUGACAUUUUCUCCUACUAACAACGCUACAAUAUCAUUUCAUUUAUCAUUCAACGCUAAGAUUUUUUCAUAUAUAAAAGUAUUUUCAAGUGUAAAUAUUUCUUUUGAGAACUAUUAGUCAAAUACGGGGUAUGAUUUAAUAUUUAUCAACGACUUCUUUUUCAUUUAAAUUAAAAGUAAAGAACGAAAGAAAAAAAUUAAUUGAAGAAAUGUCUUCAACACGACGAAGACGUCAAAAACCAUCCCAAGCCAGAUCUCUUACUCGAUCAUUGUCUCCAGAGUGCUACAUCGACUUAACGGUCGAUUCGCCAGUACGGACGCCAAUAGAGACGAGGAUUUUGGAUCAUGAAGCAGAGUCAACUAUGAUGAUCUCCCAAUUACAGCGAGCAUUGAUAUGGCCUCUUGGAACCGUAUCAAGAAGAGCCGUCAAUCGUGAAGAGUCACCAGAAUCAAAUACUCACCGUUUAUCAAUUGAAAUCGAUACACCUGAUGUUGAAUUGGAUAUUGAAUUAAAUGAUAAUAAUAAUUUUCGAGAAAAUACAACUAAUGAAACAGUGGUGAUCGAUGAUCCUGAACCAGUUCCAGUUGUAAGCAUGAAAAAUUCUUCCCAAGUUCAUGAAAAAUCAACUGCACCAUGUUUAUCGUGCCCUAUUUGUUUCGAGGAACUUUUAAACACUUCAAUACCAGCAUAUACGACAAAAUGUGGUCAUAUUUUUUGUGAAACUUGUCUUAAAAGAGCAAUUGAAACACGAAAAAAAUGCCCAAUGUGUUUAAAAGCUGUUAAUAUCAAACAAUGUGUUCGUUUACAUAUUUAAUCAUUGACCAUAAUUGUAGUUUUUAAUCAUUUAACGUUGUGUCAAAUUAAGAUCCUUUGGUACAAUGAAAAUCAAAAGUAUUUAUUAAACAAACUUCACAACCAAAUAGUAUCAUCUGCCCAUGUACAUUUGUAAUUGCAUUAAAUAAAUAAAUAUUUUUCUAUUACCAUUUUUCCAAUGUAAA
RNAcentral lists this unclassified non-coding RNA (1089 nucleotides) under Chelonus insularis. RNAcentral's name for it is "e3 ubiquitin-protein ligase BRE1-like, transcript variant X3". Lineage: Eukaryota; Metazoa; Arthropoda; Insecta; Hymenoptera; Braconidae. The record is from RNAcentral.